RNAcentral lists this ribosomal RNA (280 nucleotides) under Ranitomeya amazonica. RNAcentral's name for it is "partial 12S ribosomal RNA". It matches the Rfam family "Bacterial small subunit ribosomal RNA", at positions 875 to 1291 of the family's 1533-position model. Lineage: Eukaryota; Metazoa; Chordata; Amphibia; Anura; Dendrobatidae. The record is from RNAcentral.
GGGAANUACGAGCCAAGCUUAAAACCCAAAGGACUUGACGGUACCCCAUAUCCCCCUAGAGGAGCCUGUCCUAUAAUCGAUAACCCCCGUUCAACCUCACCAUUUCUAGCACUCAGCCUGUAUACCUCCGUCGUCAGCUUACCACGUGAGCGCUAGUGAGCUCAAUGUUUUUUCAACUAAACGUCAGGUCAAGGUGCAACACAUGAAAUGGGAAGAGAUGGGCUACACUUUCUAACAUAGACCACACGGAAGACUAACUAUGAAAUCUAGUCAGAAGGCG